This 77-nucleotide transfer RNA is filed under the name Alphaproteobacteria bacterium. RNAcentral describes it as "tRNA-Cys". It matches the Rfam family "tRNA". Rfam says of the family: Transfer RNA (tRNA) molecules are approximately 80 nucleotides in length. Their secondary structure includes four short double-helical elements and three loops (D, anti-codon, and T loops). Further hydrogen bonds mediate the characteristic L-shaped molecular structure. tRNAs have two regions of fundamental functional importance: the anti-codon, which is responsible for specific mRNA codon recognition, and the 3' end, to which the tRNAs corresponding amino acid is attached (by aminoacyl-tRNA synthetases). tRNAs cope with the degeneracy of the genetic code in two manners: having more than one tRNA (with a specific anti-codon) for a particular amino acid; and 'wobble' base-pairing, i.e. permitting non-standard base-pairing at the 3rd anti-codon position. The record is from RNAcentral. Lineage: Bacteria; Pseudomonadati; Pseudomonadota; Alphaproteobacteria.
GGCCCUUUGACCGAAUGAUUAAAGGUUCCCGCCUGCAAAGCGGUGACAUGUGGGUUUGAUUCCCACAGGGGCUUCCA